Molecule: ribosomal RNA, 253 nt
Filed under: uncultured bacterium
Lineage: Bacteria
Description: partial 16S ribosomal RNA
Rfam family: Bacterial small subunit ribosomal RNA
Source: RNAcentral
UACGGAGGGUGCGAGCGUUAUCCGGAAUUACUGGGUUUAAAGGGUGCGUAGGCGGCGUAGUAAGUCAGGAGUGAAAGUUUGCGGCUCAACCGUAAAAUUGCUUUUGAUACUGCUAUGCUAGAAUUAGGAUGAGGUCAGCGGAAUGUGGCAUGUAGCGGUGAAAUGCAUAGAUAUGCCAUAAAACACCAAUUGCGAAGGCAGCUGGCUAGACCUGGAUUGACGCUGAGGCACGAAAGCGUGGGGAGCGAACAGG